This 253-nucleotide ribosomal RNA is filed under the name uncultured bacterium. Its description in RNAcentral is "partial 16S ribosomal RNA". It matches the Rfam family "Bacterial small subunit ribosomal RNA", at positions 524 to 776 of the family's 1533-position model. The record is from RNAcentral.
UACGUAGGGGGCAAGCGUUGUCCGGAUUUAUUGGGCGUAAAGAGCGUGUAGGCGGCCAUGUAGGUCCGUUGUGAAAACUCGAGGCUCAACCUCGAGACGCCGAUGGAAACCAUGUGGCUAGAGUCCGGAAGAGGAGAGUGGAAUUCCUGGUGUAGCGGUGAAAUGCGCAGAUAUCAGGAAGAACACCCGUGGCUAAGGCGGCUCUCUAGUAAGGUACUGACGCUGAGACGCGAAAGCGUGGGGAGCGAACAGG